This 625-nucleotide long non-coding RNA is filed under the name Pongo abelii (Sumatran orangutan). RNAcentral's name for it is "lincRNA". The record is from RNAcentral. Lineage: Eukaryota; Metazoa; Chordata; Mammalia; Primates; Hominidae.
UUGCCAAGAAGCUAGAAAGAAUUAGAAGACAGAUGAGUCAGAACGGAAGAGACGGGGUUUUGCCAUGUUUCCCAGGCUGGUCUUGAACUCCUGGGCUCAAGUGAUCCGUCAGCCUCAGCCUCCCAAAGUGCUGAAAUUACAGGCAUGAGCCACCCUCACCUGGCCUGAGUGCUGAAAAACAGAAAAGCCUCAGAGGCCAAAGGUGAAGCACUGGAUGGAAGUUGACCUCCAAGCAGGGAGCAGGCAACUCAGCACCAGCCUAGGCUCCACGUGGGGUUGAGAGAGGGGAAAGGCCACCGACAGUCCCUGCUCCAUGGGGAAGGCAGCCUCUGACUGUGGCUGAUGGGCUGGCAGUCGGAUAAGGAUUGGCUGGCAGGAAUGGGCAUCCAGCUGCCUCUGCUGCUCCUGUGAGCUGGGAAUGAUGGUGCCAGUCAGGUCUGCAUGGCCAUCAAUAGGCCAGGUGGCCGGGUAGGGGUCUCUCAGCUCCAGUGGCUGAAACACACAACAGAAUCAUCAAACCUAGUCUGAGAUAGUCAUGAAAGAGAUUUAGAAAAAGACAUAGUGAUUUUGUUCCCCAUUUGCUUUUUCUAAAAACACUCCUCUCUAAUAAAAUGUAUGACAGCAA